ACUCCUACGGGAGGCAGCAGUGGGGAAGUAUUGCACAAUGGGGAAAGGACCCUGAUGCAGCCAUGCCGCGUGUGUGAAGAAGGCCAUUACCGGGUUGUAAAGCAACUUUCAGUCGUGAGGAAGGUAGUGUAGUUAACACCUGCAUUAUUUGACGUUACCUACAGAAGAAGCACCGGCUAACUCCGUGCCAGCAGCCGCGGUAAUACGGAGGGUGCGAGCGUUAAUCGGAAUUACUGGGCGUAAAGCGCAUGCAGGCGGCCUGUUAAGUCAGAUGUGAAAGCCCGGGGCUUAACCUCGGAAUUGCAUUUGAAACUGGCAGGCUAGAGUCUUGUAGA
This 335-nucleotide ribosomal RNA is filed under the name uncultured bacterium. RNAcentral's name for it is "bacterial SSU rRNA". It matches the Rfam family "Bacterial small subunit ribosomal RNA", at positions 335 to 655 of the family's 1533-position model. The record is from RNAcentral.